Long non-coding RNA from Alnus glutinosa, 801 nucleotides. RefSeq lists it as uncharacterized. Lineage: Eukaryota; Viridiplantae; Streptophyta; Magnoliopsida; Fagales; Betulaceae. The record is from RefSeq and is a predicted model, not a curated record. The transcript is spliced from 3 exons.
AGAUUAUGUCUUGGGGGAGUUGAACACAAAAAUCCACCGUGCUCCUCCCUUUCCUCCCUUGACCAUCGAAUGUCCAGGCCACCAAAAGAGGCAUGACAAAAUGUCGAUAAAUAGUGGUGCGUCAAGUGUGUGUCCGUUAUGUUAUUGUGGAGUGCCUGCACGUGUAAGGUAUUCUUGGACUAAUACAAAUACCACCAGAAAGUGGUAUGGCUGUGAAAAUUAUAAGAGAAAGGGUGAUUGUGAUUUUUUGGCAUGGGCUAAUAAUGAAAUGACUACGUACGAGAUGAAGAUAAUGGAACGCCUGAAAGUCCUCGACGAUAGAAGAAAUGCAGAUAAUGAUAGACUUGAGAAGCUAAUUGAAACAAAAGUAAAUUAUCAAUAUCUUAAACUUGAGAAGCUGAUUGAAAAAAAAUAUAAUGAUCAAUAUGUUAAAUUUGAGAAGCUGAUUGAAAAAAAAAUAUAAAAAUGAAUAUGUUAAACUUCGACGGGAGCCGGAGCAAUGUCAAACUAAUGGAAAGAUGUUUCGGGGUAUGAUAGUAGUAGUCAUUUUGCUUUUUGUUUUUUUACCUUAGUGGCUAUAGUGGAUCUCGAGGUACUUAUUUGAUGUUAAACUAAAAGAAAAUGAGAGUUAUGUAUCAAGUUGGGAUGUAUUCUAUUGUAGUAUGUUGGAUUGUAAUGCGGUCACUUUGUAGAGGAACGUUAUUUUGUGAUUGGAUGUAAUAUGACAGUUUAUUUCAUCCAACUUUUAGUUGGAUGUAAUAUGAUAGUUUACUUGCUAGUAAUGAAUGGUAUUUAAUGUAA